GACUGUACAAAGGUAGCAUAAUCACUUGUCCUUUAAUUGAGGUCUGGAAUGAACGGUUGAAUGAAAAAUCUACUUUCUUUUUUUUAAAUUAAAAAUUUAAUCUUUUAGUUAAAAAGCUAAAAUAUAUUUAUAGGACGAGAAGACCCUUUAGAACUUUAUUUUUUAUAUAAAAAAUUUUUGUUGGUUAAUAAUGUAAUUUUUAUUGUAAAAUUUUGUUGGGGUGACAGAAAAAAAUUAAUAACUUUUUCUAUUUAUAUCAUACAUACAUGAAUAUUUGAUCCUUUUUUAGGAAUAGAAGAUUAAGUUACCUAAGGGAUAACAGCGUUAUUAUUUUAGAGAGUUCAUAUCGAUAAAAUAGUUUGCGACCUCGAUGUUGGAUUAUAAUAAAAUAUAGGAGCAGAAUAUUAUAUUUUGGGUCUGUUCGACCCUUAAAUUUUUACA
This 441-nucleotide ribosomal RNA is filed under the name Cyrtorhinus lividipennis. Its description in RNAcentral is "partial large subunit ribosomal RNA". It matches the Rfam family "Bacterial large subunit ribosomal RNA", at positions 1944 to 2600 of the family's 2925-position model. The record is from RNAcentral. Lineage: Eukaryota; Metazoa; Arthropoda; Insecta; Hemiptera; Miridae.